Molecule: long non-coding RNA, 374 nt
Organism: Oreochromis niloticus (Nile tilapia)
Lineage: Eukaryota; Metazoa; Chordata; Actinopteri; Cichliformes; Cichlidae
Exons: 2
Source: RefSeq, a predicted model, not a curated record
UCAAAUGCAGCAUUUCUAUCACCUCAACAAACACUAACUGUGUCACAGUGUGUUGCUAGCUAAAGCUCCACUUGCUGUAUUUCACAGGAAGAGAAAAGAAUGAGAGCUAACUUCACUCAGAGAUAUAGAAAGAAAGAGAAAGAAACCAGGCUGUAUUUAAAGACGUCUUGAAAACAAGUUUUAACAAAGUCCUGGAGAAGUGCCCAAUGCUGGAGGACCUCCUGCUUUACCCCUGGCUCAGAUAAACUCCUCUCUGACACAAACACACACGCAUACUGAAUUCACAUCUUGCCAUACAAAUGUGAUACAGUAACCAACUUUCUUUCUUUCAGAAAAAAAGAAAAUUGGGAGAUUCAAAAUUUUCCUCACAGUAA